Molecule: ribosomal RNA, 443 nt
Filed under: uncultured bacterium
Lineage: Bacteria
Description: partial 16S ribosomal RNA
Rfam family: Bacterial small subunit ribosomal RNA
Source: RNAcentral
CCUACGGGUGGCUGCAGUGGGGAAUAUUGGUCAAUGGGCGCAAGCCUGACCCAGCAACGCCGCGUGAAGGAAGAAGGCUUUCGGGUUGUAAACUUCUUUUCUGAGGGACGAAGAAAGUGACGGUACCUCAGGAAUAAGCCACGGCUAACUACGGGCCAGCAGCCGCGGUAAUCCGUAGGUGGCAAGCGUUAUUCGGAUUUAUUGGGUGUAAAGGGCGUGUAGGCGGGAAAGCAAGUCAGAUGUGAAAACUCAGGGCUCAACCCUGAGCCUGCAUUUGAAACUGUUUUUCUUGAGUGCUGGAGAGGCAAUCGGAAUUCGGUGUGUAGCGGUGAAAUGCGUAGAUAUACGGAGGAACACCAGUGGCGAAGGCGGAUUGCUGGACAGUAACUGACGCUGAGGCGCGAAAGCGUGGGGAGCAAACAGGAUUAGAUACCCUUGUAGUC